GACGAACCGUGCGAACGUUUGUCGGAUUCACUGGGAUUAAAGGGCGCGUAGGCGGAUUUUCAAGUCGGAGGUGAAAUCCCAUAGCUUAACUGUGGAAGUGCCCCCGAUACUGAGAAUCUUGAGGGAGGUAGGGGUGUGUGGAACUUCCGGUUGAGAGGUGAAAUGCGUAUAUAUCGGAAGUAACGCCGGUGGCGAAAGCGACGCCCUUGACCUUUUCUGACGCUGUGCCGCGAAAGCCAGGGGAGCAAACGGG
This 253-nucleotide ribosomal RNA is filed under the name uncultured bacterium. RNAcentral describes it as "partial 16S ribosomal RNA". It matches the Rfam family "Bacterial small subunit ribosomal RNA", at positions 524 to 776 of the family's 1533-position model. The record is from RNAcentral.